UUCAUGAGUAACUAAUUCUUAUUUAAUUUUGAAAAACUGUUUGAUUGAAGUCUUGGCAAUGGAAAUUUUGUUUGUAACAAGAUUUUUUUUCCUGUUUCUUCCCCUCAUUUUAUUAAGACGCUAAUCUUUCUGGCAGCACUACUUUUCUGUAUGAAUAUGAAAAUUCCUGGAAGUGAUUACCUUCUUGGGGGAAUGUAGUCAAGAAGCAGCAUGCAUAUCACAAAAAUAGGGAAAAAACAUUCUGCCUGCACUUAAAAAUAAUGUGAAGGCUACAGUAAUUAACAGGAUUUGAUCUGGAAGCACAUUUGAAUGUUCAGCUCUCAGCCAUGCUCUUAAAAUUUUAUCCAAAAAGGUUAGAUAAAGCCUUUUUCUUUUAUUUUCUUGCCAUCAUGCAAACUGAUGAAUUUUAAAAUGGCAGAAAAUUCUAGUUAGUACUUUCCUAAUAUGUUCUUAAAAGAAGUAUAAGAAAAACAUGAUGUAUUAUAUGGGCAAGCCAGUUUAGCAGGAAGUCUUCUGAGUGCCAGAUUCUGUCUCCUGUAUUCAGAGAAGUAAUACUUCAUUUUGCAAGUUGAAUAAUUAAUUUAUUUGUCUGGCUAAGUAGGCUAAAUUUUGAAUGAAUAAAGCGUUGGAGCAGGACGCAAGUUUAUUUUACAGUGUAGUUUUACCAGAAGCUUUUCAUUUUUUUGCUCUGUGCAAAUCUCAUUAAAAUAGCAGGAUUGAGAGACCGUACUUGGAGAGGUCUUUCUGAAUGAUUUCUUUGAAGAGAAACAAAGCGCUAGAGAGAAAAGAGACAUCUUGAGGUCUGCCUUCUUGGAGUUUUCAGUAGGACGUCUCUUCUUUCCACUCCUUUUGGAAGACAUCAAGAGUGGUUUCUUUAUUCUGGAUCAGACAUCAUUCCUGGUGGUGAAAAUCCAAAUGAAACAAUAUAUGGGUUGAACUUCUGCAUUCUCAUGUGGGGACAGAAACUAUUAGUAAUGUGUAUUGCCA
This 987-nucleotide long non-coding RNA is filed under the name Chrysolophus pictus (golden pheasant). RNAcentral describes it as "lncRNA (ENSCPIG00010012997.1)". Lineage: Eukaryota; Metazoa; Chordata; Aves; Galliformes; Phasianidae. The record is from RNAcentral.